UACAGAGGGUGCAAGCGUUAAUCGGAAUUACUGGGCGUAAAGGGUGCGUAGGUGGUUAUUUAAGUCAGAUGUGAAAUCCCUAGGCUCAACCUAGGAAUUGCGUUUGAGACUGGAUAGCUAGAGUGUAGUAGAGGGAAGUGGAAUUUCCGGUGUAGCGGUGAAAUGCGUAGAUAUCGGAAGGAACAUCAGUGGCGAAGGCGACUUCCUGGACUGUUACUGACACUGAGGCACGAAAGCGUGGGGAGCGAACAGG
RNAcentral lists this ribosomal RNA (253 nucleotides) under uncultured bacterium. RNAcentral's name for it is "partial 16S ribosomal RNA". It matches the Rfam family "Bacterial small subunit ribosomal RNA", at positions 524 to 776 of the family's 1533-position model. The record is from RNAcentral.